Molecule: long non-coding RNA, 612 nt
Filed under: Panax ginseng (ginseng)
Lineage: Eukaryota; Viridiplantae; Streptophyta; Magnoliopsida; Apiales; Araliaceae
Description: long non-coding RNA (PGIN_LNC011677)
Source: RNAcentral
CAACAUCAGAUCCGAGGGAUCUAAGCUCCAGAAAUAUAUGACAACGAUGUUCUUCAUUUCUGGGUUUUCCAGAAAAUUAAGAACAGUCAAGGGUACUAGUUUUCGAUCCUUAUAAUUGGUAUUUUGUAAUUGUUUUGGGUGAACUAUUGGUUCCAUAAGGUAGACCACAUGUCAGGGUACAACGACAUAAAAUCAGAACAUCAUAACAACAUUGAAUCUAAGAGAUUAAGGCCGGUCAACCUCUGACAGACAACUCGGCUGAUGAAGAUCUGGGUUUUCCAGAAAACCUUCAUGAGGUAGUUUGGUCAACCUACUUUGACCAUGAUUAUAUUUCAUUCUAGUUGUGAUCUAACUGAUCUAGUAGCAUACAUGGGUAAUUAAUAUACUCUUCUACAACCUCAAACUAACAACACAACCAAAAGAUCAAACGACUUCAAGAUCAGAGGCUUGCAAAAGCUUGUCAGGAAUUCUGGGAAACUUCUGGGUAACCCAGAAACAGAUUCCGUGAACGGUCAACAUGGUUUGACCGAGCAUAACUGAUGAUCUAGACUAGAUCUAACCCUGCUUCCAGUCUCAGAUCAAAGUCCUCAUGUCAUAAAAUAGAUUCAAAAC